Molecule: non-coding RNA, 1324 nt
Organism: Xyrichtys novacula (pearly razorfish)
Lineage: Eukaryota; Metazoa; Chordata; Actinopteri; Labriformes; Labridae
Source: the annotation of a GenBank genome assembly
GUUAUCAAGUCGUAAACGGUUAGUAACAGGACAAGCAGGUAAGUAAGAUUUUGUCUUGUUAUUUUCUCGAAAUAAACCAACGCUCCGCUUGUCAGGAGGAAACAAACAUCGCGUUAAAGACUUGGUUGAUCGAUUUGAGUAUGUUGAUUUUUUUAAACACACUUUUCUGUCAAAUAUGCAGAAAACGGCAGUCAUUGAGAAGUCAGUAUGGGAUCGGGAAGCAAACAAGCUAGCAGGCAUUAGCUUAGCCUGCUUGCUAAAUCGGCGGUGAUUGGUCAGGCUCCCAGCGUCAACUUACUACGUCACUGCAGCUCAGGCUCAGACAUUGUGCUGCAUUAAAGACUCCUCGGACAAAGUUGUUGCGCUUGUUUGAAAGUCGCUGUCUGGAUUUAGAGUGGGCACGUUAAAACUAAAAAAAGAUGCUAAUUAACUGAUUAAUUUAAAAUUUAUGUAGCAUUUAUUAAUGUUAGUCGAAAUGGACGGAACCUUAAGUGUAAACGCCAUCAUCGUGUUACUUAUUAGAAAUUAGCGCAAGUCUCAUAUGCAAAAUGUCUGUCAAAUAAGCUAUUAAACGUUAAGGAUUUCCCAACAAUAUUUCUGAUAAACUAGUACAUAGUGUUUUUUCUCCUCACUAAUUUUCCAAUUUUUUUGCUUCCUCUUAGAGAUCCUCCUCAUAGUCUCGGAUAAACGGAAGUUCACUUUGCCGUUUAUUCCAAGUCCCCUUAAAGUAGCAUUAGCUAGGCUAACGUUAGCAUCUCAACUAUCGUUUUAGAGAAAGAUGUGUUAAUUUUAUUACUUGAAUGGUGGGAAAAUUGCUGUUUGACAGGAUAGCUCUAAUGGUAACGUUGGUAUAAGCUGUGUUCGAAAUAUUCAAGCCUGGUGCUGAAAUUAUUCAACAUAUUAAACUUUUAUUUUAAAUUUUCAGUCAUAACGUUCCUGCAGAGGAGGUUAGCCAGUUAGCGUUAGCUUACCAGCUGGACGUUCAAAACCAUUGAGACUAAAAGUGCUUUUAAAACUGUAAAUAACUUCAUCUUAUUAGUAUAAUUCUCUUACCAUGUAUGUAUUUAUAUUAAUUUAUUAUUUUCCAUGUUUCAUUUUCAGGUGUCAUGUUAUUCCUUCCCCUGGUAUCUGGAAUUAUGGACACUUGGAUUACUGAAAGGAACCCCUCACCAAUGGAGUCAAAGGUAUGUAUAGAUAUCAUAAUUAUAAUUGUUGAUUUAUUGUUUUUAAGGUGUUUCUCAUAGAGUUGAGGAUGACUUCUAUAAGUCCUCACCUGUUGUACUCUCAACAAAAAAUUGAGGUUGUGGAUACUGAGAGUUGAAAC